AACGAACGCUGGCGGCAUGCCUAACACAUGCAAGUCGAACGAGACCUUCGGGUCUAGUGGCGCACGGGUGCGUAACGCGUGGGAACCUGCCCUUAGGUUCGGAAUAACUCCCCGAAAGGGGUGCUAAUACCGGAUAAUGUCUUCGGACCAAAGAUUUAUCGCCUUUGGAUGGGCCCGCGUUGGAUUAGCUAGUUGGUAGGGUAAAAGCCUACCAAGGCGACGAUCCAUAGCUGGUCUGAGAGGAUGAGCAGCCACACUGGGACUGAGACGCGGCCCAGACUCCUACGGGAGGCAGCAGUGGGGAAUAUUGGACAAUGGGCGAAAGCCUGAUCCAGCAAUGCCGCGUGAGUGAUGAAGGCCUUAGGGUUGUAAAGCUCUUUUACCCGGGAUGAUAAUGACAGUACCGGGAGAAUAAGCUCCGGCUAACUCCGUG
RNAcentral lists this ribosomal RNA (433 nucleotides) under uncultured bacterium. Its description in RNAcentral is "partial 16S ribosomal RNA". It matches the Rfam family "Bacterial small subunit ribosomal RNA", at positions 29 to 507 of the family's 1533-position model. The record is from RNAcentral.